RNA transcript from Rhodamnia argentea, 1935 nucleotides. It is a transcript of the gene named DNA repair protein RAD51 homolog 2, with no coding region annotated. NCBI's taxonomy places the organism in Eukaryota, Viridiplantae, Streptophyta, Magnoliopsida, Myrtales, Myrtaceae. The record is from RefSeq and is a predicted model, not a curated record. The transcript has 13 exons.
GGAUUUUUUGUUCCGGCUCUCGCGGACUUGGGCCUUGGGUGAAUCUCUAGUUCUCGACAAACGGUGCGAGUUUUUAGGGCUUUUCUGAUUUUGGCGGGAAAGAGCGUGGGGGAAGGGGAAGGGGAAGGGGAAGGGGAAGUGCGCGAGGAUGGCGAACCAGCUGAUCAGUGAGAUGGGACUGCCUAAAUCGAUCGCCAACGUCUUCGCCGCUCGCAACAUCAGGACCGCUAAGGAUGCAUUGUCUUUAACUGAAUUCGAUCUGAUGGAGUUGGUGGACAUGGGGUUGACAGAAGUGACAUCGGUACUGGUGCACAUCAGCGAGAGAGUGUCUCCUCCACAUCAAACUGCACGGUCACUUUUACAGCAACGUAUUCAAAAUGAGCAAUUGGCUGGUCAUCUUCCAACAGGACUCAAAGGUUUGGAUGAAGCCUUAUUUGGUGGAAUUCCUUUUGGAGUUAUAACAGAGUUGGUCGGUCCUGCUGGAAUCGGCAAAACUCAAUUUUGCCUGAAGCUCUCAUUAUUGGCAUCUCUGCCAACGCGUCAUGGAGGUCUAGAUGCCCAAGUUAUAUACAUUGACGUGGAGUCCAAAUUUAGUUCAAAAAGGCUGAUAGAAAUUGGUGCACAGAGUUUUCCUGAGAUUUUUCACAUGAGCGGAAUGGCACAGGAGAUGGCUGGUCGGAUUCUUGUCUUGCGGCCAGCAUCCCUCGCUGAAUUUACUGAAAGUCUUCAACAAAUUAAAAUUUUGCUGCUGGAGCGCCGUGUGAAGCUGCUAGUUAUUGAUAGCAUGGCAGCUCUCACUUCAGGGGAAUUAGAGCAUGGAGCUUCCAAGAUAAACCCAUUGGGAUGGCACAUAUCUUUUCUUAAGUCAGUGGCUGAAUUGUCGAGAAUUCCAAUUGUAGUUACAAACCAAGUCAAAUCUCAAAGCAGUGAUGAAGCCUGGCGCUAUAAUUUUCAAGAGCCGCUGGGUGUAUUAUGUGCAGUGGGGACCAGACGCCAAGAUUUAGAGGACACUUCUAAGUAUGAUUCCCACCUAAUUGCUGCUUUGGGUAUUCACUGGGCACAUGCUGUGACCAUUCGUCUCAUACUUGAAACAAUAUCAGGCGAAAGGUUUAUAAAGGUGGCUAAAUCUCCGAUGUCCCCAGCGCUGGCUUUCCCGUUUAGCAUAACUUCAUCCGGGAUCUCAUUACUGAAUGAUGAUGGAAUAGAAGUGGUGGGGCAAGAGAUAAGCACAAUACAUUGCCAUGGGCCUAAUUUAUGGCAUGUUGUAUCAGUCUGCAGUUUCACCAUCCUUAAUGAAUGCGACAGUGCAGAUAGAAUGCAUAUAUACCUGAUGAUGCAGAAGAAUCUUGAUGUUGGUAUUUGUUUUGUGACAACCAUUCUUCAUUAAUAUGUGGUCGUCUGUUGGACUCCAAUCCCACAGCUUUAUCGCUUUCUCAAGAUCUGUAUGCUACUUAAUUGAUUAGGUGCGGUUGAAGCCUGUUUAGCAUCGUCCUUUUUGGUGCUUUAUAGUGCUGUAUCCGUGUGCUGCUAUCUCCUGCUUGUCUUGUUUACCGGCCAAGCGUUGGGCACACGCGAGCAUCGAGGCCCAGUCCAAUGACCUUUUACCAUUUCUUGACUUCAGCCUGUCGAUGUGUCGUGGCCCUAGGUACGGCAACUAAUUGUUGACAAAACCAAGGCCUGUUAUACGUCCCAAGCAUUCAAAUUUUUUAUACGAUCUCUUGAUCUAUUAGCAAUGUUACCUCGGCAUGUUCUCCACCUAGAUUCAGCAUGAGCCAGCACUUUAAUUUGUUGUUUGUGGACACCAAGGAAUGUGAGCUUCACAUCGUAUUCCAUUGUUGUCUACUGAAGGAGCGAAGGAAAUAGUCAACCUUCUCUUAAACAAGCACGAAUACAAAGAGAAGCAGCCAGGCAUGACUAGCUUCUUGAGGGUUUUUA